GUUUAGUUUAAGGAAGUGGGCAGCCAUCCAGUUAGAAACAGCAGAGAGGCAGUCAGAGACACUAAAGACAUCACUAGAGACAUCACAAAACACAAAGUUCAGUGUGAGUUGCACAGAGCUCCCAGAUCUGUCACCCGAUUUUCCCUUCGUUUUCCUGUUCACGUGACUGACCGGCUUUGUCAUCCGGUGUUGGGAGGAUUGAGGGAAAAUGCACCACAAGUGACAGUUAAAGUUAAAUUCUGGACAUUUAAAGCCCAUACAUGAGCACUAGAACAACACUUGUAUGGGCAAUGCUGGGACGACGAACACUGUUUGUGACAUCUAGCUGGGCCCUGAC
Non-coding RNA from Pelobates cultripes (western spadefoot toad), 337 nucleotides. NCBI's taxonomy places the organism in Eukaryota, Metazoa, Chordata, Amphibia, Anura, Pelobatidae. The record is from the annotation of a GenBank genome assembly.